CCCCCCCGCCCCCCCCGCUGCCCCCCCCGUUAUUGGGUGGGCCAGGACGUCCUGGCCCGCUGGACCGACGGCCUCCUCUACCUGGGCACCAUCAAAAAGGUGGAUCCCGGCCGCCGUGGUUGCCUGGUCCAGUUCGAGGACAAUUCCCAGUUCCUGGUCCUAUGGAAGGACAUCAGCCCAGCUGCGGUGCCAGGGGAGGACCAAUCCUGCUGCGUCUGCUCCAGCCGGGUCCUGAGCCCCCAGAACCUCCUGGUCCGGUGCUCCAAGUGCGGCCAUGGUUGGUGCCCCCCUU
This is a long non-coding RNA of Pezoporus occidentalis (night parrot), 292 nucleotides long. RefSeq lists it as uncharacterized. The transcript is spliced from 3 exons. The record is from RefSeq and is a predicted model, not a curated record. NCBI's taxonomy places the organism in Eukaryota, Metazoa, Chordata, Aves, Psittaciformes, Psittacidae.